Molecule: long non-coding RNA, 1722 nt
Organism: Platichthys flesus (European flounder)
Lineage: Eukaryota; Metazoa; Chordata; Actinopteri; Pleuronectiformes; Pleuronectidae
Exons: 2
Source: RefSeq, a predicted model, not a curated record
AUGCAUAUUAAUUAUUUGGUAAAACAUCAGACUUGCUGAUAUGAAAAGAAGACACUCCCAUCCUGUAACAACUUCCUAAAAAGCAGUGUUGAUUCAAUUACUAGAAAAAACAAUCCUUUGUACAAAGGUUGCACUCAUUGAUGGUUCAUAUGUGACAAAAAGCAAACAUCUAUUACCAUUGUUAACAACAUAUCAAUGCUUACUAUAUAAAAAUGGGAUAUGGUUGAAAGCCCUUGUGUUGCAGUAUCUAAUGCCUAAGCUCUGGUGCUCCACCUUCAAGUCAACAUUUGGUGAGAUGAAGAAAUUGUGUUGACCCUUUCUUUUACUGUGAUUGCACUUGUGACUUGUUGUGGAGUUUAGAUCAGACCAAUCAAGAUGAGUAGUGGACAAAACACAGUAACUUUGCACAUUAACACAUAAAAUACAAAUAAAUUGAAAGGCACUGCUGCAAGUUUUGUUCCAUUAUCUCUUCCUUAGUUGCUGCAGGCUGGCACACAAAAAAGGUUGAGGCCCAAAUUCUUCUAAUAGUUUCCAGAAAGAUCAAGUUAUAGGCAGUGUCACAGGGAAACUGAUAAAGUAGAGUUUUCAUUUGUUUCCAUUUGAUUUGAAAAAAAAAAAAUUCCAAUGCAAACCAGCGCUGUAUCUAUCUUCUGCUCUGAUAAAUCCCUGCUCUCUGUCAUUUUCAUCUGCCUCACAGAUUCCUUUUUCAAUGGUGGAGUUCAACCGAGACGACCUUUUAAAUGAGAUCAGGACUCCUGGUGAUGAUGACUCCGCUCCUUGCACCCUCCCCAAUGGGCUUCUAGCUUCCUGCUUGACUUCCUGUUGUUGUGCGUCAGACAUUCAUAUUUCAUUGAGGAUUCAGCAGGGGGGUUAUCAUCAGCACUGACUCCAGGCCCAGCUUGUAGCUGUAUUCAGUGAAGCACCAUAUACCUCCCUAACACCAGACAACACACAGCGUGUGCAUCCAGCAGCAAAAGGAAUUCAUGGAAAUAAUAUUGGACUUAACCCAACUAGCAUGAUGGAAUAAUAGUGCUCUGUAUCUGCUUUAUGUGAAAAUAAGAAUAUGUAAAUAACUAUUUGCUGACAUGGUUGUAAUAUCAAUUUAAAACCUUGUGAGUCACAUUCAAUUAUUAAAAACUUGUCAAACUCAUGAAUUCAUGAAUAUGAGUUUAACAGUGUUUGUUAUACCGGUUGUUUCAUCCCAGAGCAGAACAAUAAGGACAACCCUAGUGGUGUUCCUAAAUAUCUUGAGACAUAUCAGGAAUCUGCUUUGUGGCAGUUUAUCGUGACAUUUCGACAUUGUUCGGUUAACAGCAGCAACAAGACAAAAAAUUCUCCUUCUGUUUCAGUUUUUAAGCCAUUGUCAGAAUGUGGUGAUUAUACAGUAGUGGGCUUAUUAGGGUUCGGUUUAGAUUGCGAUCUGUUGCCAUUUGUAAAUCUAUUCAAAUUUGUUUCUGUUCUCUGCAAUCGCCUCUUCCCACAUUCAGUUACUCUUGGAUUAGAGGAGGUGAUUUCUCUCUUUGAUUUGUUUCUCCCAGGACGUCUCCUAUAGUCAAACAAAUGAGCUGAGCUAUUUUCAGAAGUAAAUUUGUCUUUGUCAUCUUUAAGUUUAGAACUGUUUGUGUUGUGGGUCUGUCAAGCCCACUGAGACUUGUGUGAUGUUCAGGCUAUAUAUGGAGAGAAAUAAAAGCUUAGUUUUUCAAAGCAGCUGGCUGAAACGGA